Molecule: long non-coding RNA, 690 nt
Organism: Gymnogyps californianus (California condor)
Lineage: Eukaryota; Metazoa; Chordata; Aves; Accipitriformes; Cathartidae
Exons: 4
Source: RefSeq, a predicted model, not a curated record
UAAGUGUCUCACUGACGAUGUGAAAAGACCUUGGUCCUAAGCACCACUUCUUUUUCAGAAAGCAACAAGGGAUUCGUCACAUCCGCAGCAGAAAAGCGUUUAUUGGCGACUCCAGAAAUGCCCGCAUAAACCUCAGUCUGGGUCAGAAGAAGCACUCAGGUGUGCCCACCUCUGUUUCUCAAGACUUCGUGAGUAUCUCCUUCUGUCCAGCUCACAGAUGACCACUGGAAUGUCAUGAGCAUUUGGAAAUCACUGCUUUUGCCUUGAAGAUGUGCAAGGAGGACUCGAUUUCUCUCUCAAAGCUCCUUUUCAACACACAGCCAGCCAGCAACGGAGUUCAGAACAUAUGGAAAAGGCACCAAGCGUCUGACCUUCUGCUGGAAGAGACCUUUACUUGAGAUUUGUCCAGUGUGUAUCUUACAUAGAAACUAGUGUUAAGUAUACAAAGCAAAACCACAUUUUUGGCUUUAGUGAAACAAAUUGCAGCCCCUGACACUCCAAAAGAAUGCAGGCUACAGAAAAAGGAAGAAAAAAAAAUUAAUGCAUCCAAAGUAAAAGAAAUCCAACAUGCUUAAAUCCAAACCCUCCCAAAUGUUGUAUUUAAAUUAAAAUAUCAAGGGAAUAAUUUCCUUUGAUAGACACAGUAUUUCUGCUCAAAAGGUCCUGUGCAAGUCUCUUUCUGCAUGUACA